UCGCCCUUAAACUCUAUCAACACCCUCUCCAUAUCUUUCAAACCCUAGCGCAGUCGCCCUCUCAAAUCUCUCCUACUCCAGCUCAAACAUGGAAUCAAUCCAUGAUUUACGUACAUAUUUUGUGUUGCUCUAUUAUUAUACACUCGUCUAUGGUAUUACUUAGAUUCUAGAUCUGUUUUUGGCAAGAACUUCCUCAAUAACGGGUAGAUUCACUCUGAUUUUAUGAAGAUCUAGACGAUCUUCCAUCAAUAUACAUGUUUUAUUGAACAAUUCUUGCAUUUUUUGUCCGAUUUAAAGCAUCUGUCUCAACUAGGGUUUGAGACAUUUCCUUGUUCUUUAUCGAUUUCUGAUUGAUACUCUUUCCUUUCUCGUAUUUGACUAAUAUUUUUCUUAUUUUUGUUUAAUCUAACGUGUUUCAUUUCUUUUUUUAACCUUAUUUUGCCCUAAAUAAGGAUUUUAGAUCUUUUUCUAGUUCGACUCCGUGUUUCCUUUUGAAUAAUUUUCCAUCUAUGUUCGUUUUAUGCAAAUAUGUAGUUAUUUGCUUUAUUUUUUGCUGACUUUUUUGUUUACCUAAAUUUAAGGUUUCAAUCCCUUUUACUUGAACCAAAUUGGUUCAUUCUUACUCUUCUUUUGAAUAAUGCAUAUUUGUGUUCAUUUUUUGUGCUAGUACUUGAUUCUUUG
Molecule: long non-coding RNA, 681 nt
Filed under: Nicotiana benthamiana
Lineage: Eukaryota; Viridiplantae; Streptophyta; Magnoliopsida; Solanales; Solanaceae
Description: long non-coding RNA (NBEN_LNC008885)
Source: RNAcentral